This 167-nucleotide ribosomal RNA is filed under the name uncultured bacterium. Its description in RNAcentral is "partial 16S ribosomal RNA". The record is from RNAcentral.
UCCUACCGUAGGCGGCAGUGGGGAAUCGGGACAAUGCAGGCAACCCUAAUCCUGCCCUGCCGCGUAACCAUGAAGCCCCCCCGGCGCGAAGCGAUUAAUCUGGAAGGGUGAAAAUCCCGCUAAUACCGAGGUAAUGACGGUACCGGAAGAAUAGCACAGCUAUAUCG